AGUGAACGCUGGCGGCAGGCCUAACACAUGCAAGUCGAACGGCAGCACAGUAAGAGCUUGCUCUUACGGGUGGCGAGUGGCGGACGGGUGAGGAAUACAUCGGAAUCUACUUUUUCGUGGGGGCGAACGUAGGGACACUUACGCUAAUACCGCAUACGACCUACGGGUGGAAUCAUGGGAUCUUCGGACCUUGCGCGAUCCAAUGAGCCGAUGUCGGAUUAGCUAGUUGGCGGGGUAAAGGCCCACCAAGGCGACGAUCCGUAGCUGGUCUGAGAGGAUGAUCAGCCACACUGGAACUGAGACACGGUCCAGACUCCUACGGGAGGCAGCAGUGGGGAAUAUUGGACAAUGGGCGCAAGCCUGAUCCAGCCAUGCCGCGUGGGUGAAGAAGGCCUUCGGGUUGUAAAGCCCUUUUGUUGGGAAAGAAAAGCAGCAGGUUAAUACCCCGCUGUUCUGACGGUACCCAAAGAAUAAGCACCGGCUAACUUCGUG
RNAcentral lists this ribosomal RNA (492 nucleotides) under uncultured bacterium. Its description in RNAcentral is "partial 16S ribosomal RNA". It matches the Rfam family "Bacterial small subunit ribosomal RNA", at positions 29 to 507 of the family's 1533-position model. The record is from RNAcentral.